UUAAUUGAAGCCAAAAUAGAGGCUUUCCAUUGUUAAUGGAAUUAAUGAUAUUAAUUAUCCAAUUAAA
This 67-nucleotide transfer RNA is filed under the name Chorosoma macilentum. Its description in RNAcentral is "tRNA-Asn". Lineage: Eukaryota; Metazoa; Arthropoda; Insecta; Hemiptera; Rhopalidae. The record is from RNAcentral. RNAcentral also lists the same sequence under 1 other name.